This 73-nucleotide transfer RNA is filed under the name Stegodyphus mimosarum. It matches the Rfam family "tRNA". Rfam says of the family: Transfer RNA (tRNA) molecules are approximately 80 nucleotides in length. Their secondary structure includes four short double-helical elements and three loops (D, anti-codon, and T loops). The record is from Rfam by way of RNAcentral. Lineage: Eukaryota; Metazoa; Arthropoda; Arachnida; Araneae; Eresidae.
GCCUUUGUGGUGUAAUGGUCAGCACACUUGGCACAUAUUUAAGAACUCUGAGUUUCAAAUCCCGGCGAGGGCA